Molecule: long non-coding RNA, 228 nt
Organism: Leguminivora glycinivorella
Lineage: Eukaryota; Metazoa; Arthropoda; Insecta; Lepidoptera; Tortricidae
Exons: 2
Source: RefSeq, a predicted model, not a curated record
GAUGUCCGAAUGACUCAGCAGCAGACGCAGCGUCGACUCAGGCAUAGCAUUUCUCCGACGCCAAACGAAAACGAAACGCCGCGAAAGCUAGUCUGGCUCUGUCACGCCAAUACGCAAGAGCGAUAGAGUAACAAUUGAAGAACGUCUUGGUAAGAUAUGAGAUAGGUUCCCACUUCUUUUAUUUUCUUCCAUACUUUCAUGAAUAAAAUGAACUGUAUCAAUAGAAAA